AAAGAUGGAUAUAGUUCAGUGUAUGACAUAAGAAUAGGGUCGAAAGAGACCUUUUUCCUCUCGAAAUUUUGUUGUUGUUGUUGUUGAUUAUUGGUGUAGCUGUUGUUGACGUUGUUGUUGAGCUGGCAUUGAUUGAUUGAUUGAAAAUACUGGAAUAACUGAUGAAACUUGGUGAUGAUGUUGACGUGGUUGCGUAUUUCUUUUGACAUGAGGCCU
Molecule: long non-coding RNA, 216 nt
Filed under: Lathyrus oleraceus (garden pea)
Lineage: Eukaryota; Viridiplantae; Streptophyta; Magnoliopsida; Fabales; Fabaceae
Description: Pisum sativum (pea) long non-coding RNA (PSAT_LNC025927)
Source: RNAcentral